CAAGGACAGCCAUAUACAGAACACAUUGUAGGAGUCCACCCUGAGGUUAACAAUGUAUGAUUCAUUGUGGCCAACUUUCCUUUUCUAGAAUGGACACAAUUGAAAAAUUAGCCCCAAAUGCUGCAGUAUGUUUCUAAACUACAGAUGUCAUCUGUACUGACUUUGCAAAAAAACUCCUUUGGCUUCAUGUGCUUGGACAAGAGCUUGGAGGGAAUUCCAUUAUCUUCCCCAUUCCCAUGUACAGCUCAGAUUUCUGUAAAACGUUGAGGAAUGAUCAUCACCACUACCACGCCAUUCCAAGAGUAAAUCUCCCAAAGGAGUUCAGAUCCUCCCAAAGUACCAUGCAUAGUUCAUUUCUGCAAAAAAUGAAUAUGUACAGAAAAUAAACCCACUUCUAUUUGCAAGAAUAUAAA
Molecule: long non-coding RNA, 413 nt
Organism: Pantherophis guttatus
Lineage: Eukaryota; Metazoa; Chordata; Lepidosauria; Squamata; Colubridae
Source: RefSeq, a predicted model, not a curated record